RNAcentral lists this ribosomal RNA (493 nucleotides) under uncultured bacterium. RNAcentral's name for it is "partial 16S ribosomal RNA". It matches the Rfam family "Bacterial small subunit ribosomal RNA", at positions 29 to 507 of the family's 1533-position model. The record is from RNAcentral.
ACGAACGCUGGCGGCGUGCUUAACACAUGCAAGUCGAACGGUGAAGCGCCUUCCUUUUUGGUGGGUGUGGAUGAGUGGCGAACGGGUGAGUAACACGUGAGUAACCUGCCCCCUUCUUCUGGAUAACCGCAUGAAAGUGUGGCUAAUACGGGAUAUUCUGGGUCUGUCGCAUGAUGGGUCUGGGAAAGAUAUUGUUUCGGUGGGGGAUGGGCUCGCGGCCUAUCAGCUUGUUGGUGGGGUGAUGGCCUACCAAGGCGGUGACGGGUAGCCGGCCUGAGAGGGUGGACGGUCACACUGGGACUGAGACACGGCCCAGACUCCUACGGGAGGCAGCAGAGGGGAAUAUUGCACAAUGGGCGCAAGCCUGAUGCAGCGACGCCGCGUGAGGGAUGGAGGCCUUCGGGUUGUGAACCUCUUUCGCCAGUGAAGCAGGCCUGCCUCGUUUGUGGGUGGGUUGACGGUAGCUGGAUAAGAAGCGCCGGCUAACUACGUG